Non-coding RNA from Caenorhabditis elegans, 100 nucleotides. Lineage: Eukaryota; Metazoa; Nematoda; Chromadorea; Rhabditida; Rhabditidae. The record is from Ensembl.
ACUCACUGGCUCGGCGAUGGCAGCUGUCUACUUGCCUCUUUCAUCCUCGUCAUCAACAGUGCACAUGUCUUAUGAUCGCUGACAUCGACUACUCUGAAAU